AGAGUUUGAUCAUGGCUCAGAACGUACGCUGGCGGCACGCCUAAUACAUGCAAGUCGAACGAAGUAGCAAUACUUAGUGGCAGACGGGUGAGUAACAUGUAGGUAUCUUCCCAUUGGUGAGGAAUAACACGAGGAAACUUGUGCUAAUACCUCAUAAGUCUUUACGGAGAAAGCUUUAUGCGCCGAUGGAUGAGCCUGCACUUGAUUAGUUUGUUGGUAGGGUAAUGGCCUACCAAGACAAUGAUCAAUAGCUGAUUUGAGAGGAUGAUCAGCCACAUUGGGACUGAGACACGGCCCAAACUCCUACGGGAGGCAGCAGUAGGGAAUCUUGCACAAUGGGGGAAACCCUGAUGCAGCGAUGCCGCGUGAGUGAAGAAGGCCUUUGGGUUGUAAAGCUCUUUCGUCGGGGAAGAAAAUGACUGUACCCGAAUAAGAAGGUCCGGCUAACUUCGUGCCAGCAGCCGCGGUAAUACGAAGGGACCUAGCGUAGUUCGGAAUUACUGGGCUUAAAGAGUUCGUAGGUGGUUAAAAAAGUUGGUGGUGAAAUCCCAGAGCUUAACUCUGGAACUGCCAUCAAAACUUUUUAGCUAGAGUAUGAUAGAGGAAAGCAGAAUUUCUAGUGUAGAGGUGAAAUUCGUAGAUAUUAGAAAGAAUACCAAUUGCGAAGGCAGCUUUCUGGAUCAUUACUGACACUGAGGAACGAAAGCAUGGGUAGCGAAGAGGAUUAGAUACCCUCGUAGUCCAUGCCGUAAACGAUGUGUGUUAGACGUUGGAAAUUUAUUUUCUGUGUCGCAGCGAAAGCAAUAAACACACCGCCUGGGGAGUACGACCGCAAGGUUAAAACUCAAUGAAUUGACGGGGACCCGCACAAGUAGUGGAGCAUGUGGUUUAAUUCGAAGAUACGCGCAGAACCUUACCAACACUUGACAUGUUCGUCGCGACUUUAAGAGAUUAAAGUUUUCGGUUCGGCCGGACGAAACACAGGUGCUGCAUGGCUGUCGUCAGCUCGUGUCGUGAGAUGUUGGGUUAAGUCCCGCAACGAGCGCAACCCUCACUUUUAGUUGCCAUCAUUUAGUUGGGCACUCUGAAAGAACUGCCAGUGAUAAGCUGGAGGAAGGUGGGGAUGACGUCAAGUCCUCAUGGCCCUUACGUGUUGGGCUACACACGUGCUACAAUGGCAUUUACAAUAGGAAGCAAGACGGCGACGUUAAGCAAAUCCUAAAAAAAUGCCUCAGUUCGGAUUGUACUCUGCAACUCGAGUACAUGAAGCUGGAAUUACUAGUAAUCGCGGAUCAGCGCGCCGCGGUGAAUACGUUCCCGGGUCUUGUACACACCGCCCGUCACACCAUGGGAGUUGGUUCUACCUUAAGGCAAAGUUUAAUACCUUUGACCACGGUAUAGUCAGCGACUGGGGUGAAGUCAUAACAAGGUAACCGUA
RNAcentral lists this ribosomal RNA (1438 nucleotides) under uncultured bacterium. RNAcentral's name for it is "bacterial SSU rRNA". It matches the Rfam family "Bacterial small subunit ribosomal RNA". The record is from RNAcentral.